RNAcentral lists this unclassified non-coding RNA (206 nucleotides) under Hevea brasiliensis (rubber tree). The record is from RNAcentral. Lineage: Eukaryota; Viridiplantae; Streptophyta; Magnoliopsida; Malpighiales; Euphorbiaceae.
AUCAUGUGGAAUGUCUGCGGAGACAUCAGAAUGCUCAAGAUUUUCAGGUUAUUUGGCAAGACAACGUUGAUCCUGACAAUAUGAGUUAUGAGGAAUUAUUGGAAUUAGGUGAGACAGUUGGAACCCAAAGUCGUGGUCUUUCCCAAGAACUUAUUUCCUUGCUUCCAGUGUCAAAGUACAAGCGCUGCUUUUUCUCAAGAAGGAAA